AUUGAACGCUGGCGGCAGGCCUAACACAUGCAAGUCGAGCGGAUGAAGGGAGCUUGCUCCUGGAUUCAGCGGCGGACGGGUGAGUAAUGCCUAGGAAUCUGCCUGGUAGUGGGGGAUAACGUCCGGAAACGGGCGCUAAUACCGCAUACGUCCUGAGGGAGAAAGUGGGGGAUCUUCGGACCUCACGCUAUCAGAUGAGCCUAGGUCGGAUUAGCUAGUUGGUGGGGUAAAGGCCUACCAAGGCGACGAUCCGUAACUGGUCUGAGAGGAUGAUCAGUCACACUGGAACUGAGACACGGUCCAGACUCCUACGGGAGGCAGCAGGGGGGAAUAUUGGACAAUGGGCGAAAGCCUGAUCCAGCCAUGCCGCGUGUGUGAAGAAGGUCUUCGGAUUGUAAAGCACUUUAAGUUGGGAGGAAGGGCAGUAAGUUAAUACCUUGCUGUUUUGACGUUACCAACAGAAUAAGCACCGGCUAACUUCGUG
RNAcentral lists this ribosomal RNA (484 nucleotides) under uncultured bacterium. RNAcentral describes it as "partial 16S ribosomal RNA". It matches the Rfam family "Bacterial small subunit ribosomal RNA", at positions 30 to 507 of the family's 1533-position model. The record is from RNAcentral.